Molecule: ribosomal RNA, 254 nt
Filed under: uncultured bacterium
Lineage: Bacteria
Description: partial 16S ribosomal RNA
Rfam family: Bacterial small subunit ribosomal RNA
Source: RNAcentral
UACGUAGGGGGCGAGCGUUGUCCGGAAUCAUUGGGCGUAAAGAGCUCGUAGGCGGUUCAGUAAGUCGGCUGUGAAAUUCCGAGGCUCAACCUCGGAACUGCAGUCGAUACUAUUGUGACUAGAGCCCGGUAGAGGAGAAUGGAAUUCCCGGUGUAGCGGUGAAAUGCGCAGAUAUCGGGAGGAACACCAGUAGCGAAGGCGGUUCUCUGGGCCGGUACUGACGCUGAGGAGCGAAAGCGUGGGGAGCAAACAGG